AGUUGUAUGCUCUGCUAGUUAUGUAUAUUAGAAUUUUAGUAAGAAAUAUUUUAAAAUACUAAACAAUCAUUCCUUUCUUUGGCGUAGACACUUCAGUAUUUUUAUUUUAACAACUCCUUAUCCGCCUCUACUGACAAUUCAAAAUUAAAUUGGCGCGUUCCUUUUUGAGCGAGAAAAUCAACCAAUAUCAGAACGAGUUACAAAAAGCUUUGUUACUAAUAAUCCUUGUUAAUCGCAUAAAUUUUUGCCUUCGCCUAUUUAUUUACCUUCUUUUCUCAUAUAAACAAAAACAACAAUCAACCGCUCGCUUGAAUUCACUCAAAUAUUCGGUAAUUCAAAAACCAAAACCAAAAAAAACAUACGAACGACAGACUCAGUGAAACAGCGAGGCUGCUGCGUAGCGUUUUUACGCGUCGUGCCAAUACCAGAGUCGAAACGGAACUAGAACUGUCGCACGGUUACGCUUUCUCCCAAGAGGAAGGUGGUGCAGUGCCACAAUCCGUCGUUAUACGCGCGUACGACACGAAUUUGCCGAAACCAGAGGGCAACUAAGCGCAUGAAACUACAUAAAAACUGGUACUGGUUAUGGAGCAGACAAAAUCAAUGAGGAGCGAGCAUAUGCUGGGUUCGAGCAAAACUGAAGUAGACCAUUACAGAGUGACAGCAAAGUGGAUGAAACUGUAGAAGAUCAUUACAGUAAACAAGCAAAGUGAAUGCGGUGGAAAUAGUCACACAAGGGAUUGUGGUGAUUCAUAACUCGAAAAGUUUUAUGUGCGUUCCCAAUACUAGCACAUCUUUCAGUUCGCCGAAAUGUUAGGCCAACCAUUAUAACCAU
Bactrocera latifrons is the source of this 835-nucleotide long non-coding RNA. RefSeq lists it as uncharacterized. The transcript is spliced from 2 exons. NCBI's taxonomy places the organism in Eukaryota, Metazoa, Arthropoda, Insecta, Diptera, Tephritidae. The record is from RefSeq and is a predicted model, not a curated record.